Ictalurus punctatus (channel catfish) is the source of this 8117-nucleotide RNA transcript. It is a transcript of the gene named ADAM metallopeptidase with thrombospondin type 1 motif, 9, with no coding region annotated. The record is from RefSeq and is a predicted model, not a curated record. The transcript has 39 exons. NCBI's taxonomy places the organism in Eukaryota, Metazoa, Chordata, Actinopteri, Siluriformes, Ictaluridae.
CAGACACCUUCGUAUCGCCUUUGCCUCGACCCCGCCCCCUGAGUAGUAUUGAACCCUGGCAGCGGAGCCCACCGUGUCCACCGUGACUCCCCUCACAUCCACACCCUCCUCCUCCUCCUCCUCCAUCCUCUCCCUCCCUACUUCCUCCCCCAAGCCUUUAAUAGGCUACGUUAUUCAAGUUCGCCAAGAACUCGGACGGAGAGCUCGCGGACCCCGGCGCACGCUCGCGACCAUGUAAUCCGCCCCUGAGCGCAGCAGCAGCAGCACGAGCGAGGAGGAGAGCCGCGCGCGCGCCGGAGUAAAAACCACCAACCCUCGGAAUAUUACUGGAUUUUGCGCGCGCUGUUUUGAGCAGAUUAAUCAUGCACGCUUUUCUCUGGGGUCUGGGCUUGUUCAUACUUCUCCCCGACUUUGUGCAUGGGACCCGGAGAGCUCCGGUACGCGCGAGAAAAGCCAGAUCACUGGAGCACACCGGAGCGCACGAGAUCGUGACGCCCAUCAGAGUGACCGAGGCCGGGGACGCGUUGCCCCAGAGCGCGCACUUCAGACGCAGGAAGCGGAGCGCCGAUAACGACACGGAACCGGCACACUGGGAAUCCGAGCACGUGCAUUACAGACUCUCCGCCUUCGGUCGGGACUAUCACUUGAACCUGACGCUCGAGGCGGGAUUUAUUGCGCCGCUUUAUACCGUAUCCAUCGUUGGCGCGAUGAACCGGACGCACCAGGAGGAAAAGGAAGUGGAGGAGGACGAAACGGUGUACCGGCACUGUUUUUAUAAAGGACACGUGAACGGAGAAACGGAGCACGCCGCCGUCAUCAGCCUCUGUUCUGGCCUGCUUGGCACUUUCAGGUCGUCAGAAGGGGAGUAUUUUGUGGAGCCUCUUCACAGCUACAAUGGUGAACAUUAUGAAGAAGAACACAUCAAACCUCAUAUUGUGUACAGAAAAGAUGCACACAGGAGGGCCAAAGAAGACGAGUCGUUAUGUGAUACUGCAGGUGAUAAAGCAGCUGCUGAGAAAAACAUGGUGUCUGGGAGUUUGGCGUCUGACCUGGAGAGUCUCAGCGCAGGGCUUCUCUCUGGCUCUUUACCCUCGACAGAAGACAAGCAGCUAUCAGCUAACCACAGCAGCAGUGACUCAGGACCUCACCGGAGAGCAAAGCGCUUCCUCUCCUACCCGCGCUUCGUGGAAGCCAUGGUCGUUGCUGACUACAAGAUGGUGGAAUAUCACAGGAGCAACCUCCAGCACUACGUUCUGACACUAAUGUCUAUUGUUUCCUCGAUCUACAAGGAUCCCAGCAUUGGCAAUCUAAUCCACAUUGUCAUUGUGAAGCUAGUCAUAAUAAACAAUGAGCUGAAGGGUCCAGUUAUCUCUUUCAAUGCACAAGCCACUUUAAAGAACUUCUGUGUCUGGCAGCUGGACCAGAACAACCUCGACGACGAACACCAUGACCACUACGACACGGCCAUCCUCAUCACCAGGCAGGACAUCUGUCGAGCAAAAGACAAGUGUGACACUUUAGGUCUUGCAGAAUUAGGCACAGUGUGUGAUCCGUACAGGAGCUGCAGCAUCAGCGAAGAUAGCGGCCUCAGUACCGCUUUCACUAUCGCUCAUGAACUCGGCCACGUGUUCAACAUGCCCCAUGAUGACAGUAACAAAUGUAAAGAGGACGGUGUUAAGAUUCAGCAGCACGUCAUGGCCCCUACACUCAACUACAACACCAACCCCUGGAUGUGGUCCAAAUGCAGCAGAAAAUACAUCACAGAGUUCCUCGACACAGGGUAUGGAGAGUGUUUGCUCGACGAGCCCGUGUCCAGGCCGUACCCCCUGCUCCAGCAACUCCCGGGGCGCAUAUACAGCGUCAAUCAACAAUGCGAACUCAUAUUUGGACCUGGAACACAAGUCUGCUCAUAUAUGAUGCAGUGUCGACGGCUUUGGUGCAUGAGUCCAGAAGGACCUCAGCGUGGCUGUCGAACCCAGCACAUGCCCUGGGCUGACGGCACUGACUGUGGCCAUGGAAGGCACUGUAAGCAUGGCGUGUGCACCCCGAAGGAGCACGACUUGGGUCCGGUGGACGGAGAGUGGGGCGUGUGGAGUCCCUUCGGCUCCUGCUCACGCACAUGUGGAGGGGGCAUCAAGAUCGCCACCCGGGACUGCAACAGACCCGCACCUAGGAACGGGGGACAGUACUGCGUGGGGCGCAGGAUGAAGUUUCGCUCGUGCAACUCCGAGCCAUGUUCUAUACAGAGACGAGACUUCAGAGAGGAGCAGUGCGCUGCUUUCGACGGCCGCCAUUUUAACAUCAACGGUCUACCUCCAAAUGUGCGCUGGGUGCCCAAGUACAGCGGAAUUCUAAUGAAGGACCGCUGCAAGCUCUUCUGCAGAGUAGCAGGAAACACAGCCUACUAUCAGCUCAAGGACCGAGUGAUCGAUGGCACGCCGUGUGGCCCCGAUACCAACGACAUCUGUGUGCAAGGCCUGUGUAGGCAAGCAGGUUGUGACCAUGUUUUAAACUCCAAGGCCAGGAGAGAUAAAUGUGGAGUGUGUGGAGGAGACAACUCGUCCUGUAAGACAGUGGCAGGGACACUGAGUACGGUGCACUACGGUUACAACCUCGUCGUGCGAAUCCCCAGCGGUGCUACCAACAUAGACGUGCGACAGCACAGCUACUCAGAUAAACCAGAGGAUGAUAACUACCUCGCCGUGGCCAACAGUCGUGGAGAAUAUUUACUGAAUGGAGAUUUUGUGGUCAGCAUGUUUAAAAGGGAAGUCAAAGUCGGGAGAGCCGUCCUGGAGUACAGCGGCUCCGACCACGUCGUCGAGAGACUCAACUGCACCGACCGCAUCGAGGAGGAGAUCGUCAUCCAGGUUCUGUCUGUAGGUAACCUGUUCAAUCCAGACGUCAGGUAUUCCUAUAACAUUCCCAUCGAAGACAUGACUCAGCAUUUUAUCUGGGACGCGUACGGCCCGUGGCAGGAGUGUAGCCGCCUGUGCCAAGGGGAGCGUAAGAGGAAAAUCCUGUGCAAUCGUGAGUUGGACCACAUGGUGGUUUCGGAUCAAAGGUGCCAUGGCUCACCUCGACCGGAGGCCUUCACAGAACCGUGCAACACAGACUGUGAACUCAGGUGGCACGUGGCCCGUAAGAGCGAGUGCACGGCUACAUGUGGACUGGGUUACCGCACGCUGGAAAUCUACUGCGCGAAAUACAACCGUAAUGACGGCAAAACCCAGAGAGUUGAUGAGCAAAACUGCAGCCACCUGCAGAAACCUGACAAUAAGGAGGUUUGCCAUGGUGACUGUAACCCCGGCGUGUGGGAGUACUCGCCCUGGUCGGAGUGCUCAAAAAGUUGCGGAGGGGGGACACGCCGUCGGAGCGCCACGUGUAUGUCGCCUGAGAACGAUGAGAGUAAAUGCAACUCGAGGGACAAACUCGUAGUCCAGCCCUGCAACGAGUUCCCGUGUCCGCAAUGGAGGACUGGCGAGUGGUCAGAGUGCCUGGUGACGUGUGGGAAAGGCUAUAAACACCGUCAGACGUGGUGUCAGUUCGGAGACGAGCGGCUAGACGAGCGCUUCUGCAGCUCGGCCAAACCGGAGUCGGUGCAGGCGUGUCAGCAGCAGGAGUGUGCAUCCUGGCAGUUCGGCUCCUGGGGCCCGUGCACCACCUCCUGUGGCCCCGGCUAUCAAAGAAGAGUUGUGAAGUGUGUCGUCAGCUCGUCCGGCUCGGUCAGGGACGACACUGACUGUAACGCAGCGACACGCCCCACUGACACACAGGACUGCGAAGUCUCGCCGUGCCCCGUCACCCAUCCUGUUUCCCCAGACACCAAGCCGGUUCCUCAUCCGGGCCACAAAACCCAGUGGCGCUUUGGAUCAUGGACUCAGUGUAGCGCCACCUGCGGGAAGGGAAUACGGAUGCGCUAUGUCAGCUGUCGUGACACUCAGGGCGGCGUGGCGGAGGAUUCAUGGUGUGCUCAUCUCCCCAAACCUCCCGCUACGGACGUGUGCUCCGUGUUGGCGUGUGGUCAGUGGAAGGUUCUGGAAUGGUCUCAGUGCUCUGUUUCCUGCGGUCAGGGUAAAGCUGCUCGUCAGGUUCUCUGCGUGAACUUCAGCGAUCAGGUGGUGGACGUGAGCGAGUGUGACGCGGACGAUCGGCCGGCGACGGAGCAGGAGUGCGCCAUGCCCCAGUGCCCGUCUCGGCCCGGUGACCACGCCCCCUUCCCUCCUAACCAAGACGCCCGUAAAAAAGCCGCACCCGCUGGGAGGGCGGAUCGACUCCGGGGGGCGCGUCCGCAGUCGCAGUGGCGGUUCGGACCGUGGGGAGCGUGCUCGAGCACGUGUGCCGGAGGAUUCCAGAGGCGGGCGGUUGUGUGCCAGGAUGAGAACGGUUACCCGGCUAACAGCUGCGACGAGAGCGUUCGACCUGCGGAACAGCGCGGCUGUGAGUCUGGACCGUGUCCACAGUGGGUGUACGGCAACUGGGGCAAGUGUUCGAAACCCUGUGGCGGUGGAGUAAAGACGCGCCUCGUGGUCUGUCAGCGUCCCAGCGGCGAACGCUUUAGCGAUCAGAGCUGCGAGAUUCUGGACAAACCGCCUGACCGAGAGCAGUGCAACAUGCAGCCGUGCUCCCACUGGAGAGCCGAACCGUGGAGCUCGUGCCCCGCCUCCUGUGGGAAGGGCUUCAGACGCCGCAACGUGACCUGCGUCAGCCGCUCUGGCCAACCAACAGCCGAAGAGAACUGUCUGCACUUGCCCCGCCCCCGUAAGGAGAAGUCCUGCAAAGGUGGGAAGUGCCCCAAGUGGAAAACGAGCAUCUGGGGAGAGUGUAGCGUGACGUGUGGUUCUGGCCUGACGAGUCGCGCCGUGGUGUGUGUGAAUCACAGCGGGGACGAGAUCCACGACUCGCACUGUUCGGCGCAGAAGAGACCAAACCAGAGCGAGCCGUGUAACACUCAACCCUGCGAGUUCGUCUGGAUCACAGGGGACUGGGAGGAGUGCUCUGUCACCUGUGGUCAGGGCUACCAGAGGAGGCGGGUCUCCUGCAGCGAAGUGCAUUCUGGGAAUGAGAAUUACGUAUACAGCCACCAUGGGUCAUCCCACUGCCCGGGGACACCUCCUGAGAGCUACCAAGCGUGCAGACUACCUUCGUGCCCUUCGAGCCAGGUGUACAGCUGGAGAGUGGGCAUCUGGGGACCUUGUUCAGUGAGCUGUGCUGAUGGUUGGAUGGAGCGCAUGGUGCAGUGUUAUUCAGACGAAGGGGAGCUCAGUGAUGAGUGUGACUCCAGCUCGAAGCCAGAGACUCGGAGGUCAUGCAGUAACCCAGACUGUAUAUUGCCGUUUAGCUGCAGGGAUGUGCAGAUGCAGAACGGUGUUGUAUCUGACGGAGAGCAGCUUCUCAGUGUACAGGGCAAAGCACGUAACAUCUACUGUUCAGAGAUGCACACGGAAAGUCCGAAAGAGUACAUCACUCUCACGACCGGAGAGGGCGAGAACUUCUCUGAGGUUUUUGCAUACAGGCUGAUGGAUCCCACGCAGUGUCCAUCAAAUCUGAUCCACAGAGAGGAGUGCCAGUGCCGGAGAGACUACACAGCCGCUGGCCUUUCCACGUUCACCCGGGUCCGACUGGACCUGAGCAAGAUGACCAUCGUCACCACAGAUUGGAAGUACUCGUACACUCGAGAAGGUCAUAAGGUUCCCUUCGCCACAGCAGGGGACUGCUACAGCGCCGCCCGCUGCCCACAGGGCCGAUUCCGACUCAACCUCUCAGGAACAGGCUUCCAGGUGGCUGAGAAUACCCAAUGGAUUUCCCAAGGGAACUACGCCGUGGCGGACAUCCACAAGUCCCAGGAUGGCAGUAGAGUGACAGGAAUGUGUGGUGGCUACUGUGGCAAAUGCACUCCAUCUUCCAGUUCAGGCCUCCUCAUCCAAGUUUCAUGAGAAACCUUCUUACAGGUCCAGACUUACAUUCUUCAUUCUUAUAGCGACGACACAUUUGGGUGACAAAUUCAAGGAAAAAACAAACAUUAAGUGUCUGAGUGGUACAAGAACAGCUUCAGUGUACACAGGUACAGAUUGUACAAGUCUCUGGAAUUGCACUGUCGAGACGUACACCGUUCUUGUCGACGUCCUGAUGAAGGUGACGGAGAGAGCCGUCCGAAACGUCGCUCCAAAACCUUAAAUGGGGUUCAGCUGAGCUGAGAUCUGGGUUAGGUCGGAGGCCGUAGCAUCUGAUUCUACAUCGUUUUUAUCAUCGCCGAACCAUUCAGUGAGCUCUCGAAGCACUGGGGAUGGGGGCGGGGUCAUCCUGGAAGUGACCACGCCCACCAGGAUAGAUACUUUUAUCAUAGGAUAAAAGUGAUCAGUCAGAAGAGCUUUCUAUUGAUUUGCAGUGACGCUUUCCUCUAAAGGGACACGUGCACGCAAAGCAAGCUGGCAAAAUAAAUAAAUACGCCCAAACGUAACGUAGCCACCAUUUUUUCCCUUUAAUUUGACACCCGUCUGACCUUUUACGGAACUGGGAUUGUGCAGCUAUAGGUAUCAACCUAUAGAGCUGUAGAACUAAAUGGUAUAAGGAUUGAAACAAGUGAGAUCAGCCUUGAAAGUAAACCAUUUGACGUUCUCUUCUCUUGGGGUUCUCCUCUCUAUUUGGUGCUAAAGACAAUAAAGACAACGAAGAACGCUCCUCGUCCAUCCCGACUUCCUGCUGUCCAUGUGUAAAUAUCAGCCGGUGUAUGUAAUGUACAGAUCGUGUUGAAUUAUUUAUUAUAACCCACAUUUAUUUUUAUACAAUUAUUUAAAAUGUUAACGAAGCCAUUUGUGAAUUGUCGCAAAUUUUGUUUUGGGUUUUAUAAUAAGUGUUUUUCGUCAUCGAAAAAUCUUUUGCAUCAGGGUGGGUAGGACAUAAAGAAACCAGCAGCUCCACAAUAACACACGGGGGGAAAAAGUAUUUACAUCCUACGCUUUCAUGUUCCAUACAUACGACCCGUGGAGGGUUAAGACUCUGUGGGUGCUGUAGAAAGGAAGUCAGGUUUUCCUAACCGACCUAGCUAGAGUUCUGGAGAUCUCGCCGAUCGAUGAUGUAAGCAGAAUGUAGUUUUCUUGAAUCACAGGUCUAUCAUUCGAGGAUGAGAUGUCUGAUUUGGGAUCAUCUCGUAGUAUGUGUGACAAGAAAUAAUCUUAAAAGACAGGCUGAAAGCGGGAUUAGCUUAGUGGAGGCAAAAUGGAAACUCGGGAUGAGUCUAGAGAAUGAAGCAGGUAAGGGAAGUCGCUCUGGGAAUGUAACCUUCAUAAGCAGGUGGAAAACAUUUCGCUGAUUGUAACGUUUCAGACAGCGUAAGCCGCAUGUAUCAGUGGACAAACAAGGCCCAGAACGUACACAACUAUAAAGUUAGGCAAGACUCCGAUUAUGAAUGGAAUAGCAGAAUAAAAACGUCGACUGAGGGGUCUGAGAGAAAAUCGGCCGUGCUCUGUGGGUGGGAGGAAUGGCGUUACUCACUACUGUCAAUCACGGUGGCACUAACCAAUCGUAGGUGUCUGUGAGUUCGUGUAUUUGGGAAAGUGUAUACAGUGAAGGGGAGGGUAUAUAUAAAUAUAUAUAUAUAUAUAUUUUAAAUAAAAGGAAUAUUGCAGUUUGUUUCAUCCUCAUCUCUCCUGACCACAUCUGGAGUGAAUGUGUUAAUACUACACACACACACACACACACACACACACACACACACACAAAUCAUUUCCCAGUACUGAGGGGGAAAAAAACCCCUGAAAACCUGUUUACUUCAUACGUAGAAGUCUCAGGGCAGAUGUUGAAUUCUGUCGAUAAAUGUUUAAAAUAUAGUAUGUGCCUACAUUUUGCAAAAUUCAAACAAUACAACAAUUAAAACGUUAACCAUAAAGGUCCACGGAAAGAUAAGACGGAAGUGAAGAGUGUCUUCGCAAGAGUGGUUUUAUGAGAGAACAGCUAUCCAAGACUAUGUUAAGAAAUUCGGUAAAAAGUAGUUCCGGUUACUUUCCCUCAGAAGAAGUAGUCCAAAUUCUGGAAGAUAUACAGUACAGAAUAUACAGAUUGGAUCUUAUUUACAAAUAAAUCUGUCUCAAGAAUUAAAGUUUGUGGACUUUAAAUAUAUA